AGAGUUUGAUCCUGGCUCAGAGCGAACGCUGGCGGCAGGCCUAACACAUGCAAGUCGAGCGCCCCGCAAGGGAGCGGCAGACGGGAGAGUAACACGUGGGAACGUGCCCUUUGGUUCGGAACAACACAGGGAAACUUGUGCUAAUACCGGAUACGUCCGUAAGGAGAAAGAUUUAUCGCCAAAGGAUCGGCCCGCGUCUGAUUAGCUUGUUGGUGAGGUAACGGCUCACCAAGGCGACGAUCAGUAGCUGGUCUGAGAGGAUGAUCAGCCUCACUGGGACUGAGACACGGCCCAGACUCCUACGGGAGGCAGCAGUGGGGAAUAUUGGACAAUGGGCGCAAGCCUGAUCCAGCCAUGCCGCGUGGAUGAUGAAGGCCCUAGGGUUGUAAAGUCCUUUCGGCGGGGAAGAUAAUGACGGUACCCGCAGAAGAAGCCCCGGCUACUUCGUGCCAGCAGCCGCGGUAAUACGAAGGGGGCUAGCGUUGCUCGGAAUCACUGGGCGUAAAGCGCACGUAGGCGGCUUUUUAAGUCAGGGGUGAAAUCCUGGAGCUCAACUCCAGAACUGCCUUUGAUACUGAGAAGCUUGAGUCCGGGAGAGGUGAGUGGAACUGCGAGUGUAGAGGUGAAAUUCGUAGAUAUUCGCAAGAACACCAGUGGCGAAGGCGGCUCACUGGCCCGGUACUGACGCUGAGGUGCGAAAGCGUGGGGAGCAAACAGGAUUAGAUACCCCAGUAGUCC
This 738-nucleotide ribosomal RNA is filed under the name uncultured bacterium. Its description in RNAcentral is "bacterial SSU rRNA". It matches the Rfam family "Bacterial small subunit ribosomal RNA", at positions 8 to 796 of the family's 1533-position model. The record is from RNAcentral.